UAUGUUCGGAAUAGAUAACCGCUGAAAGCAUCUAAGCGGGAAACUAGCCUCAAGAUGAGAUCUCACUGGGAACUUGAUUCCCCUGAAGGGCCGUCGAAGACUACGACGUUGAUAGGUCGGGUGUGUAAGCGCUGUGAGGCGUUGAGCUAACCGAUACUAAUUGCCCGUGAGGCUUGACCAU
RNAcentral lists this ribosomal RNA (181 nucleotides) under Pseudomonas citronellolis. RNAcentral's name for it is "partial 23S ribosomal RNA". It matches the Rfam family "Bacterial large subunit ribosomal RNA", at positions 2750 to 2925 of the family's 2925-position model. Lineage: Bacteria; Pseudomonadati; Pseudomonadota; Gammaproteobacteria; Pseudomonadales; Pseudomonadaceae. The record is from RNAcentral.